RNAcentral lists this long non-coding RNA (898 nucleotides) under Homo sapiens (human). Its description in RNAcentral is "HSALNT0304914". The record is from RNAcentral. Lineage: Eukaryota; Metazoa; Chordata; Mammalia; Primates; Hominidae.
UACUUUAGAUCAUCUCUAGGUUAAUUAUAAUGCCUAGUACAAUGUAAAUGAUAUGUAAAUAGUCAUUAUACUGUACUAUUUGUAUUGUUAUAUUGUUAUUUUUCUCUAAAUAUUUUUGAUCCAUAGUUGGUUGAAUCCACGGAUGUUUGGAUCCAGCCCCUGGAUACGGAGGGCUGACUUUAAUCUUCCCCCAUCCUUAAGUAUCCUGUGAAGUUAUAAAUGAUGUGUGCCAUGUCUUACACCAGCAACUGUGCCCCCUUGGCCUGGGCACAUGUGGCAACUGUCCAUGCAUCAUGUUGUUUAGGUGAGCUUGCUGUUUCUGUCCCUACUGCUGUUGGCCCAACUAGGAAAUAUGAACUAGGUAAAUAAUUUUCAAAAAUCCAGACAUUAACUUAUUUGCCUCUGUAGGAGUCUUUUUUCCAGAGCUGAUGAUAACAAGACAGUUUCCUCUGCAGCUUCUUUCACCUGGCAUCUAUUUCACAGAGGAGGGAGAGGAGGGAAGGAAAUUGUAAUUCACAGUGAUGUUAUCAGCCAGCACCAUGCCUGGGAGAUCACCAGUGCAGGAGAGGUAUAAAAUGCUCCAGGGGCAAGGUUCUGAGAAGAUGCCCUGCCACUGUAUGAGGCCACAACCUGCUGUGUAUAACCUCAUCUAAGCACAGAGAAGCACCAGGAAGACUGAGCGUGGGAAAUGAUAAAGCAAACUGUGGACUUGAAUGAAAGACAUACAGGUAUUCUUUGUAUUUUUAUAGUUAGCUUCUGAGUCUGAAAUUAUUUCCCAAAUAAAAAGUUAAAAACAAAUCUCUACUGAACAAUGUACAUCUUCCAAGAGAUUUCCUUGUAGCUAAACUACUGAUAAGCUUAGGUUCAUAAAAGUCUAUCUAGCAUCCAGUGACUAAGG